This is a non-coding RNA of Callithrix jacchus (white-tufted-ear marmoset), 998 nucleotides long. The record is from RefSeq and is a predicted model, not a curated record. NCBI's taxonomy places the organism in Eukaryota, Metazoa, Chordata, Mammalia, Primates, Cebidae.
CUAGCAGCCCCCGGAAGCCAGUCUGUCCGACGCCUCCCGACCAGCCCGUCGCUCCCCGACGCCGGCGUGCGCUGCAGCCCCGCACGCGUCCCGCACCUGCCCCACUCUUUGCCUAUCCCCCGGGACUACGAGACCGGGAGAAACAUGUGAGAUGUUAAACUGAUGUGGUUGGUUGUGAAGGGAGCUUGUGGCCCUGCCAGAGCUGAAAGCAGUCAACUCAUGCUGAGAGGAAGCCACGCUGACAGGAAAUCAUGCUGAAAGAUAAAGGUUAGAGAGUGUAAGCAUUGCCUGCAGCCUCACAUCUUGGCUUCUUCAUGAAGAAUACCACGUUUUUCAAACUUUCCAGAAGAUAACUAUAAAGAAAUCACUGGGUCAGGUUCUCCCCUCCCAUGGUCUCCCAUUAUUGGCUCGGAUCAGGUCUGAAGGUGAGAAGAUGUCUCUCUCUUUUUCUCACUCUUGCUCUAGCUCUUGCUCUUGUUCUCCCUCUCACUCUGUCUCUUCCUAUAUGACUUGGCCAUUUAGACAGGCCCAGUGGUUUCAUGAAUAACUAAACAUAAGAAGUCAAGAGAGGCCUGGCUCAGAGAGCACGAACCACAUCAGACUUUUGAAGUUCCCUUAGUGUAUCAAAGCAAAACAAAAACCAUCUCAAACUGGUUUGCAAACACUGUGGGAUAUCUUGUGUUUUCAUAUAGCAAAUGGAUGCAUUUAAUACUUAGAACUUAAAUGCAGAAUCACGUUUGGUGCUAGUGUUAUGUGCCAUUUGAUUUAUGGCACUAGUGUGCUACUAUCAUUUGAGGCCCUUAAUGGAUGUGAGGUGUAAUCCAUUUCUACUCACUCUUGAUAGAUUCUGACCUAUAGAGGCAGAAAAAUGGGGUGGGAGAGACCUCUGGGACCACGAGAUUAACACCUUCCACUUUAAAUUAGACACUUCACUACAACAGUCCUAGGAGACUAUGCCAGCCUUAGCUUGACUCCUUCCAGCACUGGCUCCUCCUAUU